This 429-nucleotide ribosomal RNA is filed under the name Gemmatimonadota bacterium. RNAcentral's name for it is "Gemmatimonadetes bacterium partial 16S ribosomal RNA". It matches the Rfam family "Bacterial small subunit ribosomal RNA", at positions 355 to 776 of the family's 1533-position model. Lineage: Bacteria; Pseudomonadati; Gemmatimonadota. The record is from RNAcentral.
UAGGGAAUCUUCGGCAAUGGACGAAAGUCUGACCGAGCAACGCCGCGCGAGUGAAGAAGGUUUUCGGAUCGUAAAACUCUGUUGUUAGAGAAGAACAAGGACGUUAGUAACUGAACGUCCCCUGACGGUAUCUAACCAGAAAGCCACGGCUAACUACGUGCCAGCAGCCGCGGUAAUACGUAGGUGGCAAGCGUUGUCCGGAUUUAUUGGGCGUAAAGCGAGCGCAGGCGGUUUCUUAAGUCUGAUGUGAAAGCCCCCGGCUCAACCGGGGAGGGUCAUUGGAAACUGGGAGACUUGAGUGCAGAAGAGGAGAGUUGAAUUCCAUGUGUAGCGGUGAAAUGCGUAGAUAUAUGGAGGAACACCAGUGGCGAAGGCGGCUCUCUGGUCUGUAACUUACGCUGAGGCUCGAAAGCGUGGGGAGCAAACAGG